This 905-nucleotide ribosomal RNA is filed under the name Pseudocercospora subulata. Its description in RNAcentral is "eukaryotic LSU rRNA". It matches the Rfam family "Eukaryotic large subunit ribosomal RNA", at positions 25 to 962 of the family's 3401-position model. The record is from RNAcentral. Lineage: Eukaryota; Fungi; Ascomycota; Dothideomycetes; Mycosphaerellales; Mycosphaerellaceae.
CCGCUGAACUUAAGCAUAUCAAUAAGCGGAGGAAAAGAAACCAACAGGGAUUGCCCUAGUAACGGCGAGUGAAGCGGCAACAGCUCAAAUUUGAAAUCUGGCGCAAGCCCGAGUUGUAAUUUGUAGAGGAUGCUUCUGGGUAGCGGCCGGUCUAAGUUCCUUGGAACAGGACGUCAUAGAGGGUGAGAAUCCCGUAUGUGACUGGCUUGCACCCUCCACGUAGCUCCUUCGACGAGUCGAGUUGUUUGGGAAUGCAGCUCUAAAUGGGAGGUAAAUUUCUUCUAAAGCUAAAUACCGGCCAGAGACCGAUAGCGCACAAGUAGAGUGAUCGAAAGAUGAAAAGCACUUUGGAAAGAGAGUUAAAAAGCACGUGAAAUUGUUGAAAGGGAAGCGCCCGCAACCAGACUUUGCGGCAGUGUUCGGCCGGUCUUCUGACCGGUUUACUCGCUGUCGUGAGGCCAUCAUCGUCUGGGACCGCUGGAUAAGACCUUAGGAAUGUGGCUCCCUUCGGGGAGUGUUAUAGCCUCUGGUGAUGCAGCGCGUCUCGGGCGAGGUCCGCGCUUCGGCAAGGAUGAUGGCGUAAUGGUUGUCGGCGGCCCGUCUUGAAACACGGACCAAGGAGUCUAACAUCUAUGCGAGUGUUCGGGUGUCAAACCCCUACGCGUAAUGAAAGUGAACGGAGGUGGGAACUUUUUGUGCACCAUCGACCGAUCCUGAUGUCCUCGGAUGGAUUUGAGUAAGAGCAUAGCUGUUGGGACCCGAAAGAUGGUGAACUAUGCCUGAAUAGGGUGAAGCCAGAGGAAACUCUGGUGGAGGCUCGCAGCGGUUCUGACGUGCAAAUCGAUCGUCAAAUUUGGGUAUAGGGGCGAAAGACUAAUCGAACCAUCUAGUAGCUGGUUCCUGCC